RNAcentral lists this small nuclear RNA (161 nucleotides) under Cephalotus follicularis. Its description in RNAcentral is "U4 spliceosomal RNA". The stretch from base 1 to 129 matches the Rfam family "U4 spliceosomal RNA". Rfam says of the family: U4 small nuclear RNA (U4 snRNA) is a component of the major U2-dependent spliceosome. The structure of U4 snRNA from yeast and human has been reported. The record is from Rfam by way of RNAcentral. Lineage: Eukaryota; Viridiplantae; Streptophyta; Magnoliopsida; Oxalidales; Cephalotaceae.
AUAUUUGCUCUUGGCACAAUGUCGUAGCUAGUGAGGUUCUAACCGAGGCGCGCCUAUUGUUGGUUGAAAACUAUUUUCAAACCCAAGCCACGGCCCUUGAGAGUGUCUGGAAGGGCUCCCUAUACGGGGGUGGUUAGAAGUGUUAUUUUACUAAGGCUAGU